Molecule: transfer RNA, 100 nt
Filed under: Akkermansiaceae bacterium
Lineage: Bacteria; Pseudomonadati; Verrucomicrobiota; Verrucomicrobiia; Verrucomicrobiales; Akkermansiaceae
Description: tRNA-OTHER
Source: RNAcentral
GCGCAAGUAUGAUCACUGGUGUGAUCAGUGUCCUUUAUCUGCUUUAAAUCAAUGUGUAGUAACCGAUUGGUCCUGGGUUCGAGUCCCAGUCUGCGUACCA